UACAGAGGGGGCAAGCGUUGUUCGGAAUUACUGGGCGUAAAGGGCGCGUAGGCGGCCUUCUAAGUCGAACGUGAAAUCCCCGGGCUCAACCCGGGAACUGCGUCCGAUACUGGAAGGCUUGAAUCCGGGAGAGGGAUGCGGAAUUCCAGGUGUAGCGGUGAAAUGCGUGAGAUAUCUGGAGGAACACCGGUGGCGAAGGCGGCAUCCUGGACCGGUAUUGACGCUGAGGCGCGAAAGCCAGGGGAGCAAACGGG
Molecule: ribosomal RNA, 254 nt
Filed under: uncultured bacterium
Lineage: Bacteria
Description: partial 16S ribosomal RNA
Rfam family: Bacterial small subunit ribosomal RNA
Source: RNAcentral